This is a long non-coding RNA of Cyanistes caeruleus (blue tit), 263 nucleotides long. RefSeq lists it as uncharacterized. Lineage: Eukaryota; Metazoa; Chordata; Aves; Passeriformes; Paridae. The record is from RefSeq and is a predicted model, not a curated record.
GCAGACUCCUCCCCUCACAUCACACAUUGUCCCAUGGCCUGGCUGCUCAUUGUGCAGUCCAGAAACACCAUUUGGUUCAAGUUGAAUGGAAAAGGAAAUGAAUACACAUCUGUGCUGUUCCCCUUGGGCCACUGUUGAAAAAGUUUCAGCAGCUGGGACUGAUCCAGAGACACCAAUGAAAUCAUCCACUGGAAGGAACUUUGGGGGAUUAGUAAGACUUUUUCCCAUCUGUGAUGUCAAUACACAAAAAUCUGUCAGCUUGA